UACGUAGGGUGCAAGCGUUGUCCGGAAUUAUUGGGCGUAAAGAGCUCGUAGGCGGUGUGUCACGUCGGCCGUGAAAACCUGGGGCUCAACUCUGGGCGUGCGGUCGAUACGGGCAUCACUAGAGUUCGGCAGGGGAGACUGGAAUUCCUGGUGUAGCGGUGAAAUGCGCAGAUAUCAGGAGGAACACCGGUGGCGAAGGCGGGUCUCUGGGCCGAUACUGACGCUGAGGAGCGAAAGCAUGGGUAGCGAACAGG
This 254-nucleotide ribosomal RNA is filed under the name uncultured bacterium. RNAcentral's name for it is "partial 16S ribosomal RNA". It matches the Rfam family "Bacterial small subunit ribosomal RNA", at positions 524 to 776 of the family's 1533-position model. The record is from RNAcentral.